Lolium perenne is the source of this 1017-nucleotide long non-coding RNA. RefSeq lists it as uncharacterized. The record is from RefSeq and is a predicted model, not a curated record. NCBI's taxonomy places the organism in Eukaryota, Viridiplantae, Streptophyta, Magnoliopsida, Poales, Poaceae.
GCUAACCCUAGGUGCUCAUCACUCCAGCACCUAUCGGCCGUCUACGAAACACAUCUCGUCUGUUCCGCCGCCACUCGUCUGUUCUCCCGCCGCCGCCACAACUUCCCCACUCUGCGUCCGCCUCCGCUCCUCCCCUCCAGAACUAGCCUCCCCCUUGCGCUCCUCGCCCCAGCCGCCUCCUUCCGUCCUCGUGUCUGAACACCGAACCAUUGUCCUGGCUCAGCCUCCUCUCCGCCCCACUACUAGCCAUCGCGACUGAGCUGCGUACAUGCUGCCGAUGAAAGCCUGCUACGAGGGGAUCCAGGGCCGGUGGCUCAUCCGGUUGUUGCCGGCCUCGCGUCCCUCAGAUCUGGCAGCCCCGGGCCUCCCCAGAUCUGAUUGGAUUUUUCUGGAUCUCUCAUCAUCUCCUUCCUCCUCCCCACGCGAGUGAUUGGAUCGUUCUGCUCAUGGUUUUUGUUGAAAUCGUGCAGGGGUAUGUGGCGUGGGAGUUUGUGAAUCAGGGAGUGCAGCCAGGGGAGCUCACCAUCAUCCCCUUCCUCCUCAUCUCUCUGCUGUAGUGAAUUCCAGAUUUAUUUUGCGGUGUUCCCCUUUGUAAUUCUAGUGGGUUGAAAUCUGCUACACAAGUUAAUUGAUUAAAAGGAGGAGACACAUGGGGGAAGAGAAAAGGAGGCAAUGGCCAAGAUAUCACAAUACAAAAGCCUAUGUGAUACAAUAGAGGUCCUCAUGCUGGUUGAGCGCAUAAACAAGAUGCACAUCCCCAUCCAUCUGAUGUCCUCAAAGUCAGGUACUAGCUGAAUGUAAGGUUGUUGUCAAGAGGAAUUUGUUGAGAGGAUCAUGGCUGCAUGCAAGCAAGCUGAUAUUUUGUUGUUAGAUGCUUAGAUGCUUGAAUUACUAGUAUGAUGUCAAGCGUUCAUAAGUUUUGGGGACCUGAUGUAGUCUCAGGCUGUAACUCUAUGUGUUUGUAAAAAAAAUUUGUGAAUAUCUGUCGGUUAUAUGUUGCAUAUUUGACUUCAUAUA